Molecule: ribosomal RNA, 492 nt
Filed under: uncultured bacterium
Lineage: Bacteria
Description: partial 16S ribosomal RNA
Rfam family: Bacterial small subunit ribosomal RNA
Source: RNAcentral
AGUGAACGCUGGCGGUAGGCCUAACACAUGCAAGUCGAACGGCAGCACAGUAAGAGCUUGCUCUUACGGGUGGCGAGUGGCGGACGGGUGAGGAAUACAUCGGAAUCUACUUUUUCGUGGGGGAUAACGUAGGGAAACUUACGCUAAUACCGCAUACGACCUACGGGUGAAAGCAGGGGAUCUUCGGACCUUGCGCGAUUGAAUGAGCCGAUGUCGGAUUAGCUAGUUGGCGGGGUAAAGGCUCACCAAGGCGACGAUCCGUAGCUGGUCUGAGAGGAUGAUCAGCCACACUGGAACUGAGACACGGUCCAGACUCCUACGGGAGGCAGCAGUGGGGAAUCUUCGACAAUGGGCGCAAGCCUGAUCCAGCCAUACCGCGUGAGUGAAGAAGGCCUUCGGGUUGUAAAGCCCUUUUGUUGGGAAAGAAAAGCAGCAGGUUAAUACCCCGAUGUUCUGACGGUACCCAAAGAAUAAGCACCGGCUAACUUCGUG